This is a long non-coding RNA of Alosa sapidissima (American shad), 103 nucleotides long. RefSeq lists it as uncharacterized. The record is from RefSeq and is a predicted model, not a curated record. The transcript is spliced from 3 exons. NCBI's taxonomy places the organism in Eukaryota, Metazoa, Chordata, Actinopteri, Clupeiformes, Clupeidae.
GUAGUUGACCAGGAAAUUUUGACUUGGUGAUCAAAUAGUUAGAACUAUGGAUUUGAUGUUGGCCGCGAAUUCAGAGCAUUAUAGAUAGAAGCUAUAUUAACGU